AUGGUGGCAACCAGUUUGGCUCUGGCUGAGCAGCAUAACUGCAAUGGACUCAAGGAAGCUUGCCUCAAGUUCCUUGCUUCUCCAUCCAAUUUGGAGGCGAUGAUGGCAAGUGAUGGCUACGAGCAUCUGAAAAGCAGCUGCCCAUCUGCCCUUAAGGAGCUGAUUGCUAGGCUCCUGCCGGCUCAAAUGAAAGCGGCCAAGGAUAUUGUCAUGGCACUUUAG
This 222-nucleotide ribosomal RNA is filed under the name Triticum aestivum (bread wheat). RNAcentral's name for it is "partial small subunit ribosomal RNA". Lineage: Eukaryota; Viridiplantae; Streptophyta; Magnoliopsida; Poales; Poaceae. The record is from RNAcentral.